GGAGCUGGACGUUUCCUUCAUCUGGAACAGCGCUCAGUACCUUUUCCUCUGCUGCCCAACGAGCCGGCCGAAGGCGCAGGCCGAGGGGUCGAGCUGGCCCGAGAGCCUGCGGAUGUGUGUGCAUCCUGCCGGAAGCAGCAGGGCUGAGCAGGAAGUUGCAAUUACAAGAGGGCAGGGCUUCUGCAGAAGCUGAGCGGUGCUGGCUCAGAGCAGCCAGGGCUUAUCCAAGGAAGGUAUGUGCGGGGGCUCCCGGGACCAGGAAUCGAACCGGCGCCACAGCAGUGAGCCGAGCCACUGCAGCAAUAAUGCCAGAUCCUUAACCCUCAGCACCACAAGGGAACUCCUCGACUGCUUCUUAACUUUUCAAGAUAAUUAUCAUUUGGGAUGAAGUUUCUUACUCUUGAAUCAGAGCCAAGGGACCUUUUUUUUUUUUUUUUUUCAGUUCCUCCUCCCUGACCAGCUCCUCCUUGUUCACUUCCUCCAGAACCCCUCCACGCAGCCUCCACGCACCUCUCUGAAGAGUGACCCAUACCUCGUCACCCACUGGCUUCAAGAUCGCCACUGACCCCCCGCCUUUUCCUGCAAGGAGCACCGCAGCCCGCAGGGUCAGCUCCAUCCUCCGGAGUCCUCCGGAUGCAGCCCGGCCUGAAGUCCUUCCUGAACACCUGUCGUCAGCAUGACAGUGGAAUCUCUCAUAAUCAGCUUCAACUGGUUCCAAGCCAGGGGACCCCCGGGCACUUGCCCAGGAUGGUUGGAGUUCACGCCGGCUUAUGCUGCUGUUCUUGCUGGUGAAUGGUGUCCCCCGCUUCUCUCACAAAUGUCCUGCUUUGGAAAAUAAGUCAUAUGG
Molecule: long non-coding RNA, 847 nt
Filed under: Sus scrofa (pig)
Lineage: Eukaryota; Metazoa; Chordata; Mammalia; Artiodactyla; Suidae
Description: lncRNA (ENSSSCG00035004283.1)
Source: RNAcentral